Molecule: ribosomal RNA, 468 nt
Filed under: uncultured bacterium
Lineage: Bacteria
Description: partial 16S ribosomal RNA
Rfam family: Bacterial small subunit ribosomal RNA
Source: RNAcentral
GACGAACGCUGGCGGCGUGCUUAACACAUGCAAGUCGAACGGAAAGGCCCUGCUUUUGUGGGGUGCUCGAGUGGCGAACGGGUGAGUAACACGUGAGUAACCUGCCCUUGACUUUGGGAUAACUUCAGGAAACUGGGGCUAAUACCGGAUAGGAGCUCCUGCUGCAUGGUGGGGGUUGGAAAGUUUCGGCGGUUGGGGAUGGACUCGCGGCUUAUCAGCUUGUUGGUGGGGUAGUGGCUUACCAAGGCUUUGACGGGUAGCCGGCCUGAGAGGGUGACCGGCCAAAUUGGGACUGAGAUACGGCACAGACUCCUACGGGAGGCAGCAGUGGAGAAUAUUGCACAAUGGGCGGAAGCCUGAUGCAGCAACGCCGCGUGCGGGAUGACGGCCUUCGGGUUGUAAACCGCUUUCGCCUGUGACGAAGCGUGAGUGACGGUAAUGGGUAAAGAAGCACCGGCUAACUACGUG